GCAGAGUAUCUGAUGCAUAUAGGUAAGUCAUGAAGUUGUCCUCUGCAUGAGUUAUUCCAUUCCCCUCGCCCAUGUUGUCUGUCACUUGCAGUUCAAAUUCCUUUGCCAUGGUCCGAGCCUCGAUACUUGAGACUAGCUGCUAUAUAAAGCAUCGAGACAGGCAAAACCCAACCCAGAAGUUCAUUCAGCUUAGUCUUUUUCAGAUACUUACAAUAUCAUUUCAGUGAGGCUGUUCCAGUAUCUCCUCCAUGGCGUCUUUGAAGGCUGAAAAACCUGCAGUGGGAGCUCAACGAAUUGGGCAGUCUAAGAAGGAAGCUAAACCCAGCGAUGUUGCACAGAAAGCUUCGGCCUCGAAGUCCAAUUCUGCAUCAAAGAAGCCUGCUCAAAGAUCUCAAGAUCCCCCUAAAAAGAGGAAAGGGGGCAAGUCUGCUGCGAAGAACUAAAUGAAAGAAAAGGCUGUUCCAUUUUCUUGCACGCUAAGGAAAGUUACCAUUCUAUGUUAGUCUGCUUUGUUAUGUAUAUCUUUUGUAUUUUAAACAGUGUGACAAGAGAGGAGCUCUCAUAUCUGAAAUAAAAAUAUGUUUCACUUA
Cucumis melo (muskmelon) is the source of this 590-nucleotide long non-coding RNA. RefSeq lists it as uncharacterized. Lineage: Eukaryota; Viridiplantae; Streptophyta; Magnoliopsida; Cucurbitales; Cucurbitaceae. The transcript has 2 exons. The record is from RefSeq and is a predicted model, not a curated record.